RNAcentral lists this ribosomal RNA (469 nucleotides) under uncultured bacterium. RNAcentral describes it as "SSU rRNA". It matches the Rfam family "Bacterial small subunit ribosomal RNA", at positions 26 to 518 of the family's 1533-position model. The record is from RNAcentral.
AGGACAAACGCUGGCGGCGUGCCUAAGACAUGCAAGUCGAACGGUGGGGCUUGCCCCACAGUGGCGGACGGGUGAGGAACGCGUGGGCAACCUGCCCCGGGGUGGGGGAUAACACUCAGAAAUGGGUGCUAAGACCGCAUACGAGUGGGGGACGGAAGGUUCCUUAGGGAAAAGCCUUCGGGCUGCCCUGGGAGGGGCCCGCGUCGGAUUAGCUAGUUGGUGUGGUAACGGCGCACCAAGGCUGCGAUCCGUAGCUGGUCUGAGAGGACGACCAGCCACACUGGGACUGAGACACGGCCCAGACUCCUACGGGAGGCAGCAGUUAGGGAAUUUUCACAAUGGGCGCAAGCCUGAUGGAGUGACGCCGCGUGCAGGACGACGCCUUUCGGGGUGUAAACUGCUUUUCUUCGGGACGAGAACGGACGGUACCGGAGGAAGAAGCCUCGGCUAACUACGCGCCAGCAGCCGC